Molecule: ribosomal RNA, 253 nt
Filed under: uncultured bacterium
Lineage: Bacteria
Description: partial 16S ribosomal RNA
Rfam family: Bacterial small subunit ribosomal RNA
Source: RNAcentral
UACGUAGGGUGCAAGCGUUGUCCUGAAUUAUUGGGCGUAAAGAGCUCGUAGGCGGUCUGUCGCGUCUGCUGUGAAAACUCGGGGCUUAACCCCGGGCCUGCAGUGGGUACGGGCAGACUAGAGUGCGGUAGGGGAGACUGGAAUUCCUGGUGUAGCGGUGAAAUGCGCAGAUAUCAGGAGGAACACCGGUGGCGAAGGCGGGUCUCUGGGCAACAACUGACGCUGAGGAGCGAAAGCGUGGGGAGCGAACAGG